UCGGGGGUGCGAAUUUCGCUGAGACGGAUGCUUUCCGAACCCUUUCACCUGAUACGGAUAAUGCCGUCGUAGGGAGUACU
This 80-nucleotide non-coding RNA is filed under the name human gut metagenome. RNAcentral describes it as "TPP riboswitch (THI element)". It matches the Rfam family "TPP riboswitch aptamer (THI element)", at positions 10 to 89 of the family's 105-position model. From Rfam's summary of the family: Vitamin B(1) in its active form thiamin pyrophosphate (TPP) is an essential coenzyme that is synthesised by coupling of pyrimidine and thiazole moieties in bacteria. The previously detected thiamin-regulatory element, thi box was extended, resulting in a new, highly conserved RNA secondary structure, the THI element, which is widely distributed in eubacteria and also occurs in some archaea. Analysis of operon structures identified a large number of new candidate thiamin-regulated genes, mostly transporters, in various prokaryotic organisms. The record is from RNAcentral.